AUGAACGCUGGCGGCGUGCCUAAUCCCUGCAAGUCGAGCGCACGGACGAGAAGCUUGCUUCUCUGAUGUUAGCGGCGGACGGGUGAGUAACACGUGGAUAACCUACCUAUAAGACUGGGAUAACUUCGGGAAACCGUAGCUAAUACCGGAUAAUAUUUUGAACCGCAUGGUUCAAAAGUGAAAGACGGUCUUGCUGUCACUUAUAGAUGGAUCCGCGCUGCAUUAGCUAGUUGGUAAGGUAACGGCUUACCAAGGCAACGAUGCAUAGCCGACCUGAGAGGGUGAUCGGCCACACUGGAACUGAGACACGGUCCAGACUCCUACGGGAGGCAGCAGUAGGGAAUCUUCCGCAAUGGGCGAAAGCCUGACGGAGCAACGCCGCGUGAGUGAUGAAGGUCUUCGGAUCGUAAAACUCUGUUAUUAGGGAAGAACAUAUGUGUAAGUAACUGUGCACAUCUUGACGGUACCUAAUCAGAAAGCCACGGCUAACUACGUG
This 496-nucleotide ribosomal RNA is filed under the name uncultured bacterium. RNAcentral describes it as "partial 16S ribosomal RNA". It matches the Rfam family "Bacterial small subunit ribosomal RNA", at positions 29 to 507 of the family's 1533-position model. The record is from RNAcentral.